This 381-nucleotide ribosomal RNA is filed under the name uncultured eukaryote. Its description in RNAcentral is "partial 18S ribosomal RNA". It matches the Rfam family "Eukaryotic small subunit ribosomal RNA", at positions 592 to 976 of the family's 1831-position model. The record is from RNAcentral.
CAAUAGCGUAUAUUAAAGUUGUUGCGGUUAAAAAGCUCGUAGUUGGAUUUCUGCCGAGGACGACCGGUCCGCCCUCUGGGUGAGUAUCUGGCUCGGCCUGGGCAUCUUCUUGGAGAACGUAGCUGCACUUGACUGUGUGGUGCGGUAUCCAGGACUUUUACUUUGAGGAAAUUAGAGUGUUUCAAGCAGGCUUACGCCUUGAAUACAUUAGCAUGGAAUAAUAAGAUAGGACCUCGGUUCUAUUUUGUUGGUUUCUAGAGCUGAGGUAAUGAUGAAUAGGGAUAGUUGGGGGGCAUUCGUAUUUAACUGUCAGAGGUGAAUUUCUUGGAUUUGUUAAAGACGGACUACUGCGAAAGCAUUCGCCAAGGAUGUUUUCAUUGA